GGUUAAGCGACUAAGCGUACACGGUGGAUGCCCUGGCAGUCAGAGGCGAUGAAGGGCGUGCUAAUCUGCGAUAAGCGCCGGUAAGGUGAUAUGAACCGUUAUAACCGGCGAUACCCGAAUGGGGAAACCCAGUGUGAUUCGUCACACUAUCAUUAACUGAAUCCAUAGGUUAAUGAGGCGAACCGGGGGAACUGAAACAUCUAAGUACCCCGAGGAAAAGAAAUCAACCGAGAUUCCCCCAGUAGCGGCGAGCGAACGGGGAGGAGCCCAGAGCCUGAAUCAGCAUGUGUGUUAGUGGAAGCGUCUGGAAAGGCGCGCGAUACAGGGUGACAGCCCCGUACACAAAAGCGCAUGUGCUGUGAGCUCGAUGAGUAGGGCGGGACACGUGGUAUCCUGUCUGAAUAUGGGGGGACCAUCCUCCAAGGCUAAAUACUCCUGACUGACCGAUAGUGAACCAGUACCGUGAGGGAAAGGCGAAAAGAACCCCGGCGAGGGGAGUGAAAAAGAACCUGAAACCGUGUACGUACAAGCAGUGGGAGCACAGGUUUACCUGUGUGACUGCGUACCUUUUGUAUAAUGGGUCAGCGACUUAUAUUCUGUAGCAAGGUUAACCGAAUAGGGGAGCCGGAGGGAAACCGAGUCUUAACCGGGCGUUAAGUUGCAGGGUAUAGACCCGAAACCCGGUGAUCUAGCCAUGGGCAGGUUGAAGGUUGGGUAACACUAACUGGAGGACCGAACCGACUAAUGUUGAAAAAUUAGCGGAUGACCUGUGGCUGGGGGUGAAAGGCCAAUCAAACCGGGAGAUAGCUGGUUCUCCCCGAAAGCUAUUUAGGUAGCGCCUCGUGAAUUCAUCUCCGGGGGUAGAGCACUGUUUCGGCUAGGGGGCCAUCCCGGCUUACCAACCCGAUGCAAACUGCGAAUACCGGAGAAUGUUAUCACGGGAGACACACGGCGGGUGCUAACGUCCGUCGUGAAGAGGGAAACAACCCAGACCGCCAGCUAAGGUCCCAAAGUCAUGGUUAAGUGGGAAACGAUGUGGGAAGGCCCAGACAGCCAGGAUGUUGGCUUAGAAGCAGCCAUCAUUUAAAGAAAGCGUAAUAGCUCACUGGUCGAGUCGGCCUGCGCGGAAGAUGUAACGGGGCUAAACCAUGCACCGAAGCUGCGGCAGCGAACGUAUCACUUAAAGCGAUUCAGCGGGUUACGAUUGACGGAGCGAAGCGACGUCAAAGCGUAUACAAAGUCGAGUCGGUUUAAGGAUACGUUCGUUGGGUAGGGGAGCGUUCUGUAAGCCUGCGAAGGUGGCCUGUGAGGGUUGCUGGAGGUAUCAGAAGUGCGAAUGCUGACAUAAGUAACGAUAAAGCGGGUGAAAAGCCCGCUCGCCGGAAGACCAAGGGUUCCUGUCCAACGUUAAUCGGGGCAGGGUGAGUCGACCCCUAAGGCGAGGCCGAAAGGCGUAGUCGAUGGGAAACGGGUCAAUAUUCCCGUACUUGGUGUUACUGCGAAGGGGGGACGGAGAAGGCUAUGUUGGCCGGGCGACGGUUGUCCCGGUUUAAGCGUGUAGGUGUGUGUUCCAGGUAAAUCCGGUUCACUUUAACACUGAGGCGUGAUGACGAGGCACUACGGUGCUGAAGUAACAAAUGCCCUGCUUCCAGGAAAAGCCUCUAAGCAUCAGGUAACAUCAAAUCGUACCCCAAACCGACACAGGUGGUCAGGUAGAGAAUACCAAGGCGCUUGAGAGAACUCGGGUGAAGGAACUAGGCAAAAUGGUGCCGUAACUUCGGGAGAAGGCACGCUGACACGUAGGUGAAGUGAUUUACUCACGGAGCUGAAGUCAGUCGAAGAUACCAGCUGGCUGCAACUGUUUAUUAAAAACACAGCACUGUGCAAACACGAAAGUGGACGUAUACGGUGUGACGCCUGCCCGGUGCCGGAAGGUUAAUUGAUGGGGUCAGCGCAAGCGAAGCUCCUGAUCGAAGCCCCGGUAAACGGCGGCCGUAACUAUAACGGUCCUAAGGUAGCGAAAUUCCUUGUCGGGUAAGUUCCGACCUGCACGAAUGGCGUAAUGAUGGCCAGGCUGUCUCCACCCGAGACUCAGUGAAAUUGAACUCGCUGUGAAGAUGCAGUGUACCCGCGGCAAGACGGAAAGACCCCGUGAACCUUUACUAUAGCUUGACACUGAACAUUGAGCCUUGAUGUGUAGGAUAGGUGGGAGGCUUUGAAGUGUGGACGCCAGUCUGCAUGGAGCCGACCUUGAAAUACCACCCUUUAAUGUUUGAUGUUCUAACGUGGACCCGUUACCCGGGUUGCGGACAGUGUCUGGUGGGUAGUUUGACUGGGGCGGUCUCCUCCUAAAGAGUAACGGAGGAGCACGAAGGUUGGCUAAUCCUGGUCGGACAUCAGGAGGUUAGUGCAAUGGCAUAAGCCAGCUUGACUGCGAGCGUGACGGCGCGAGCAGGUGCGAAAGCAGGUCAUAGUGAUCCGGUGGUUCUGAAUGGAAGGGCCAUCGCUCAACGGAUAAAAGGUACUCCGGGGAUAACAGGCUGAUACCGCCCAAGAGUUCAUAUCGACGGCGGUGUUUGGCACCUCGAUGUCGGCUCAUCACAUCCUGGGGCUGAAGCAGGUCCCAAGGGUAUGGCUGUUCGCCAUUUAAAGUGGUACGCGAGCUGGGUUUAGAACGUCGUGAGACAGUUCGGUCCCUAUCUGCCGUGGGCGCUGGAGAACUGAGGGGGGCUGCUCCUAGUACGAGAGGACCGGAGUGGACGCAUCACUGGUGUUCGGGUUGUCAUGCCAAUGGCACUGCCCGGUAGCUAAAUGCGGAAGAGAUAAGUGCUGAAAGCAUCUAAGCACGAAACUUGCCCCGAGAUGAGUUCUCCCUGAGACUUAGAGUCUCCUGAAGGAACGUUGAAGACGACGACGUUGAUAGGCCGGGUGUGUAAGCGCAGCGAUGCGUUGAGCUAACCGGUACUAAUGAACCGUGAGGCUUAACCUU
This 2989-nucleotide ribosomal RNA is filed under the name Salmonella enterica subsp. enterica serovar Pullorum. RNAcentral describes it as "23S ribosomal RNA". It matches the Rfam family "Bacterial large subunit ribosomal RNA". The record is from RNAcentral. RNAcentral also lists the same sequence under 2 other names. Lineage: Bacteria; Pseudomonadati; Pseudomonadota; Gammaproteobacteria; Enterobacterales; Enterobacteriaceae.